Molecule: long non-coding RNA, 829 nt
Filed under: Mytilus galloprovincialis (Mediterranean mussel)
Lineage: Eukaryota; Metazoa; Mollusca; Bivalvia; Mytilida; Mytilidae
Source: RNAcentral
UUUUAGAUAAUAAGGACAUACUAUGUACAUGUAGUUGUGCAUAUCGACGGGAAAUUGCGAUUCAAUUUUUUUUCUAGGAGUUACGCCCCUUUGAACUUAUUUACUUUAAUGUACUACUGCAACAGUUUGUCAUCGCAACUCCUCUCAAACCACACAACAGAAUUUCACGAAACCUUUUCAGAUAAUAAGGACAUACUAUGUAGUUGUGCAUAUCGACGGGAAAUUGCGAUUCAAUUUUUUUUCUAGGAGUUACGCCCCUUUGAACUUAUUUACUUUAAUGUACUACUGCAACAGUUUGUCAUCGCAACUCCUCUCAAACCACACAACAGAAUUUCAUGAAACUUUGUAGAUAAUAAGGACAUACUAUGUAGAUGUGCAUAUCAACAGGAAAUUACGGUUCAAUUUUUUUUCUAGGAGUUACGCCCCUUUGAACUUAUUUACUUUAAUGUACUACUGCAACAGUUUGUCAUCGCAACUCCUCUCAAACCACACAACAGAAUUUCAUGAAACUUUGUAGAUAAUAAGGACAUACUAUGUAGAUGUGCAUAUCAACAGGAAAUUACGGUUCAAUUUUUUUUCUAGGAGUUAUGCCCCUUUGAACUUAUUUGCUUCAAUGUACUUCUGCAACAGUUUGUCAUCUCAACUCCUCUGAAAACACACAACAUAAUUUCAUGAAAUUUUGUAGAUAAUAAGGACAUACUAUCUAUAUUGACAGUAAAUUAUUAUUCAAUAUUUUUUCUUAUACUUAUUUAAUUUCUCCAAUGACAAUGUGGGGACGUGGGGUAUGUGAACGUGCUCACUAAGGUUCUUUAAUUUUAAAUGUUUUCAA